Molecule: RNA transcript, 10931 nt
Organism: Passer domesticus (house sparrow)
Lineage: Eukaryota; Metazoa; Chordata; Aves; Passeriformes; Passeridae
Gene: GOLGA4
Gene name: golgin A4
Exons: 26
Source: RefSeq, a predicted model, not a curated record
CCGGCCCGGAAAGCUGUACUCUCAUCCCCUUCUCCCUCCCGCCACCAUGUUCAAGAAGCUGAAGCAGAAGAUUAGCGAGGAGCAGGUGCUGCCGCGCGGAGCGGGUAGACGUGCGAGCCCCCUCCCACCGCAGGUCCCUUCCAGAUCCCCUCCAUCAACUGGCAACAGAAUCAGGACAACUUCGUUUACAGAUCAGAAUCAUGAAGGUACUUUAACACCAGACAAAGAGCUAUUAGCCGGGAUGAUAGCAGAACCUGCUUUUCUCUCUGAGUAUACUAUCUUUGCUUUGGAUCCCACCAAACAGCCUAAGCCACAGAGUGACGGUGUGAACUUGAAUAAACAAUCACUUCCUGGAUCCACAGAAAACAAUGGAAGUGAACCUGUUUCUCCACAGCAAAGUGACAGUCAGUCUUUUGCCCAGAGGCUUCAGCUUCGAGUUCCCUCCAUGGAGUCUUUGUUUCGAAGCCCAGUAAAAGAGACCCUAUUUCGCUCCUCUUCUAAAGAGUCCCUAGUCCGGAGUUCUUCAAGAGACUCACUGAAUCGACUAGACUUGGAAGCCCUUAGUCCCACCUUUGAUUCACCUUCUGACAUUGAAAGUGAAACUGAAGAGCCUCUGGGAAAUAUGGACACCUUCAGCAAAGAGCAGUUGCUGCAGCGUCUGCAUAGAAUGGAGCGCAGUUUAGGCAACUAUAGGGGAAAAUACUCAGAGCUAGUGUCUGCUUAUCAAGUUAUCCAUCGGGAAAAGAAGAAGCUACAGAGCAUUCUGAGUCAAAGCCAGGAUAAAGCACUUCGCAGAAUUGGAGAACUGAGAGAGGAACUACAGAUGGAUCAACAAGCUAAGAAACAUCUCCAAGAGGAAUUUGAUGCUUCCUUAGAAGAAAAGGAUCAACUUAUUAAUGUCCUGCAAACUCAGGUGUCGUUGCUGAAACAGAGAUUACAGAAUGGUCAGAUAGGCACUGAAUUGCCUGAUCAAAAUGUCCAAACAGAACCACAAGUUCAAAGUCCAACGGAAGAAGUCAGUGCAGAAGAUACUGUGGAACCAGGAAGCAAUGAGCGUAAUGAAGAUUCUGUUAAAACACUGGAAACUCUUAAUCUGAGGGUGAAGCGCCAAGAGAACUUGCUGCAGCGUUGUAAGGAGACUAUUCGGUCACAUAAGGAGUGCUGUGCCCAGUUAACCAACGAGAAAGAGGCACUUCAAGAACAGCUGGAAGAGAGGCUUCAGGAGCUGGAAAAAAUGAAGGACCUUCACAUGGCUGAGAAGACUAAACUGAUUACACAGCUACGUGAUGCAAAGAAUUUGAUUGAACAGCUAGAACAAGACAAGGUAAACAAAACUGGCAUGGUAAUUGCAGAGACAAAGCGGCAAAUGCAUGAAACAUUGGAAAUGAAGGAGGAGGAGGUAGCCCAACUGCGUGCCCGAAUCAAGCAAAUAACUACAAAAGGCGAGGAAUUAAAAGAGCAGAAAGAAAAAUCUGAAAAAACUGCUUUUGAAGAGCUUGAGAAGGCUGUAAGUAUUGCCCAAAAGACAGAGGAAGCCCGGAAAAAACUGCAAACAGAAAUGGAGGAAAAAAUUAAAGCAGUAGAAAAGGCAAGUGAAGAAGAGAGAGUAAAUCUUCAGCGGGAAUUAACCAGAGCGAAACAAGAGGUGGUUGAAAUUAUGAAGAAAUCUUCAGAGGAACGAGUUGCUGAACUAGAAAAAAUCCAUAAAAAAGAACUGGCUACCAAAGAUCAGGAGUUAAAUGAGAAAUUACAGGCUCAAGAAAAGGUAUUCCAGGAGAAGAUGAAGGCAGCUCUUGAAAAAAAUCAGAGUGAAUGCUUAAAAGUCCUUCAAGAGCGAGAGCAGCAAGAAUCUCUAGCCUUAGAAGAAUUAGAGCUGCAAAAGAAAGCCAUACAGUCUGAGUGUGACAAGAAAGUUGAGAAGAUGCAUCAAGAAGUAGAGACUUGUAGAACUAGAAUUCUUGAACUGGAAAGCUCUCUUGCAAAGUAUUUGCAAGAUGACAGAAGGCAGUCAGAGGAAUUAAAUACUCUCAUAGAGUCUGAAAAAACCCAGCACAGUAAGGAAAUCAAUGAUAUGGUUGAAAAACACAAUAAAGAACUGGAGAAUGUGAAACAGCAGCAAGAAAAGCUUUGGACAGAAAAACUUGAAAUUUUAAAGCAACAACAAAUAACUGAAAUAGAAAAAAUAAGAGAGAAACAACAACAAGAGAUACAAACCAUUUUGAAAGAGAAAGAAACAAUUUUCUGUGCACACAUAGAAGAGAUGAAUGAAAGAACAUUAGAAAAACUUGAUGUGAAACAAACAGAAUUAGAAGCACUAUCUUCUGAGCUAUCAGAAGCACUAAAAAUACGUCAUGAUUUAGAGCAAGAGCUCUCAGAAAUAAAUAGUAAAGUGUGUGAAGCUAAGCAAGAAUUGAAAGGAAGGUUGGAAGAAGAGAGGAAACAGCACAAUGAAGUGAUUGAAGCAAUGUUAAAAGAGCAUGAAAUGUCUAUUCAAGGUGUUGAGAAGGUACUCAAAGAGGAACUCAACAAGCUCAAACAAUCACUGGAGGAGAAGGACAGACAUUUGGAGGAGUUAAAAGCACAUGAACGGAAAAUGAAGGAAUCUGCAGAAAGAUCUGAAGCUGAACUUGUCCAAGUGUCUGCAAAGUUAGAGGAGCAAAGAAAUGAAAAUAUAUGGAAAGUAACCGCUCUAACACAGCAGUAUGAAUGUCAACUGAAGGACCUAGAAAGAAAGGCUGAUGAGAUGAAGAGAAGUCUGACUGAGAAGGAAAAUGAAAUGGAGCACAUGAAGAAGUUACAGAACAAGCAAGUGGAAGAGCUUAAACAGAAACUGUUAGCUGCAGAGGAGAGAAUUAGUGCUUUACAAGGAGAGUAUGAAAGUAAACUGAAAUGUCAGGAGAAGAAAGUGGAGAAAAUGAAGCAGAAAUCAAAAGAUAUGCAGGAAACUUUCAAAAAUAAACUUGCUGAGCAGGAAGCUAAACUAAAAAAAGAGCUUGAAAACAUGCAGUUGGAAUUCAGUCAGAAAGAGAGUGAAUUCAAUACUAAAAUCUUGGAAAUGGCUCAUGCCAGCUCAUCUGGAAUCAAUGAUGCAGUGUCAAAACUGGAAUCUAAUCAGAAAGAGCAACUAGACAGUCUUGCUGAGGACCACAAAAGGAAAUUGGAAGGAGUAAUCCAAAGUUGGGAAAAGAAACUUAAUCAGCAGAUUGAAGAGCUUAAGGAACAACAUGCUUUGGAACUGCAAGAGAAAGUGCAGGAAGUUGGAGACCUGAAACAGAAGCUUUUCAUCGUCAGUGCUGAAAAGGAGGACUCCAGAACAGAAAUAAUCCAACUGAAGGAAGAACGAGGGAAAAGGGAGGAAUGCCUGAAGGAGUUGCAAGAACAGCUAAGGCAGUCAGUGGCUAAGGUGAAUGCUUUGUCAGAUAAGGAAAGUGACAUGAAAACACAGUUGAAAAAAUUGGAAAGUGAUCUUAAACAGUCCCUGAAACAGCAGACAGGACUUCAGGAACAACUCAGUAAACAGAAAGCAGUUGAAGAGAAGGACAAAGCCACAAUUACUGAGCUGACUGAUAUACUGAGAACCCUUGAAGAAAAACUCCAAACUGUGCAAUCUUCUCAGUAUAAAGAUCAUAAAAAUUAUGACAAAAAAUCAGAGACAAUUAACCUAAAAGAAAUGGAGUUUAAAAGGUUGUCAGGAGAACUUACAGCCCAGUUAGAUGCUUGGAAGAGUGCUGAAGCUUCAUUGCAAACUAAAGGCGAUGAAUUAAUUGAAAAAUGUAGUGAAAAAAUUGGCAUAAUAACAUGUAAAAUUGCAGACUGUGAGCACCAAACUGCAAAGGUUAAAGAAGCAAUAUUAAUCAAAACAAGUAAGAUAACUGAACUAGAAGCUCAACUUAGGGAAAUAACGGAGCAUCAUUCUGCUGCUACUACUUCUUUGCAAAAGUCAAUGCAAGAACUGCAGAAGAAGGACAAUUUAAUUAUGUCCAUGAGAGCUGACAUUGCAGGACUUGUAACAGAAAAGAAACAAUUGCAAAAAGAGGGAGAACAUCAGCAGCAAGCAGCAUCAGAGAAAGAAACUUGCAUAACACAGCUGAGGAAAGAGUUAUCUGAAAAUAUCAAUGCUGUCACAUCAAUGAGGGAAGAACUCCAGAAAAAACAGUCUGAAGUGUCUGCUCUCAACAAAACAGUUACUGACCUUAAUGUUAGACUUGAAAGCACAGUAAGUUUAACAGAGAAGGAAGCAGCCAUAUCUCUGUUAAGCAAACAACAUCAAGAGGAUCAGAUGCAGUUGUUAAAUCAAGUAGAAGAGUUAUCAUCCAGAGUUGAGAUGCUGAGUCAAGAAAAAGCAUCAGCUUUUGAUCAGAUAGAUCAUUGCACAGCCCAGCUGUCAGAGUGGAAGAUGAAAGCACAAACCAGGUUUACACAAAAUCAUGAUACUAUCAAAGAUUUGCAGAGCAAACUUGAAUUAAGCAAUACUGAAGCCAGUAAAAAAGAUGAAGAGCUAAAUAAACUGAAGGAACAGCUGGCUAAACAAAGCAGGAAUCUUGAUAGUUUAAAAAGUGAAUUGGAACAAAAGCAAAACAGGAGGGAAAAGGAAGAAAAUGAGUUAACCUCAAAGUUAAAAAAACAAGCAGCAAAAAUUGCUGAACUAGAAAAAAACAUUGCUCAGAAAACCUUAGAAAAUGAUUCCUUGGUGGAGGAACUUAAAAAGUGUAAUGAACAAAAAAACACAGAGAAAAAAGAAAUAGUUUGGCAACUCCAUCAGGCAGAGAAGGUGGCUUUUGAAAAGGAGAAUAGAUUUAAGAAGGCUGAAGAAAAAGUGCUUAAUCUUGAGAAGCAAAUAGGUUCACUGAAAGCUGAUUUUGAAGCAAAAGAGAAGGAAUUUGAUCAAAUUAAGUCAGUGAUACUUAAAAGGAAAGAGGAAGAACUGAAAGAAUUAGAAGAGAGACUGAAUGCAGAGAACAGCACUAAGCUGGCUGAUCUGAAAAAGAAGGCAGAGCAAAAAAUAGGCUCUAUUAGAAAGCAACUACUGUCUCAGAUGGAAGAAAAGGAACAGCAAUUUAAGCAAGAUAGGUUGGAUCAGUUAAGAAAGUUGGAGCAGAAAUUACAGGAGAGAGAAGCCAAAAUUGAGUCCUUAGAAGAAAAAAUUAAGUCAACAAGAGAUUCCCCAGAAUUAGAGAAGGAGAUGCUGGAAAAAGUAGAGAGUGUAAAAGCUGCUGUAGAACAAGAAAAAAAUAACUUACUUGAGAGUGUCCAACAGACAUACAAAGAGAAAAUUCAGGUAUUACAGAAGGGCUUAACAGAAAAAGAUGCAUUAUUACAGAAGUAUGAGAAAGAACAACAAGAGAGUAAUGACUGUCACCUAGAACUGCAAAACAAACAAAAAGAACUCAUUAAAAAACUAGAAUGUGUUGAGAAGAGCCAUCAGGAAGAGCAGGUUAGGACCAAAAGUCUCAGGAGAGAACUUGACGAGCAAGCCAAAAAAUAUUCAUUGUUAGCGGAUGAGCAUGCAUGUUGUGGCAGUAUUUUAGCAAGCAGUAGGGAAGAAUUGAAAGUUAAAGAACAAAAAUAUCUUGAUAUGGAGAAUAUAAUUGGAGACUUACAGAAAAAAUUGCAGGAAAAGGAGGCAGUCAGUCAGUCUUUAGAACAGAAGAUAAAAGAGUUGGAAAAUAAUGUAGUGAAGAAAAAUGAAAUGCUUAAGAUUGAGAUGGAAGAUAUGACUUCAAGAUAUGAAGAAAAGCUAAAAUGUCUACAGCAACAGUUGGGUGAAAGAAAUGACAGUCUGAAAGCUUUUGAGGAAAAUGCUGAAGAAAAGUCAAGAUCUGUUUUGGAGCUGCAGAAGUUACUUGCUGAUAUGCAGAACCAGCAGAAGGACUUACAGACUAAACUGGAAGAGACUGAAGGGGAGAAACAGAAACUACGCAAAGAGGUGAAUAAUCUUCAAAAAGACAUACGUACUUUGCGAAAGGAACAUCAGCAAGAGCUUGACAUAGUAAAGAAGGAGUCAUUAGAGGAAAUGGAGCAAAAAAUCAGAUGUGAACAAGAAGACAUUGAGUUAAAGCACAACUCCAUCUUAAAGCAGUUAAUAAGAGAGUUCAAUACUCAGCUGGCUCAAAAAGAGAGAGAAUUGGAAGCAGCAGUAAAAGAAACAAUCAGUAAAGCCCAGGAGGUAGAAAAUGAAUUGAUAGAAAAUCAUCAUAUGGAGACAACACAGUUGCAUAAAAAAAUUGUUGAAAAAGAUGAUGAUUUGAAAAGAACUGUGAAAAAAUAUGAAGAAAUCCUUGAGACUCGUGAAGAAGAGAUGACAGCAAAAGUUCAUGAGUUGCAGGCACAGCUGGAAGACUUGCAGAAGGAAUACAAACAAAGGAUUGUGGAAGAGGAACAUAGCAACAGUGAAAAAGUCACAAUAACAGAACUAAAGGCACAACUUGCACAGAAGACAACUCUAGUCAAUGAUUCAAAACUGAAGGAGCAGGAAUUGAAAGAGCAGAUUCAUAUACUGGAAGACCAGCUGAAACAUUAUGAGAAAAAUAUGUAUGUCACAUCAGUUGGAACACCAUAUAGAGAUGGAAACCUUCACCAUACUGACGUUUCCCUAUUUGAGGAACCCACUGAGUUUGAAUACUUGAGGAAAGUCAUCUUUGAAUACAUGAUGGGUCGUGAGACAAAGGAUUCAAUAGGCUUUCACAUUUUUUCCCAAAGAGACAUGAUUCAUAACUUCAAAACUUGAUCAGCUUGCCAAGAUGAGUGACAAUGGCCAAGGUUAUAACAACAGUGCUGAAGUUCCCAGCAGAUCAGACUCAGAAGAUACUAGAACGAGAAGAUGCUCGACCAGUGAAUCACAUCUGAGGAAAGUGUUAAAUACUUCAACAUUUUCCUGUACACUUAGUAUGGUCGAGAGCCUUGCAAUCUUAAAUAUUUUUAAUACUUUUAGACUAUAAAAAUAUUGAUUAUACUACAGCUCCAGUAAGUAUCAUGUAUUCAAAGCAUGAUUUUCUCUCUCUGACAUUAAAAUAGAAAGCUGAGACUUUUUUGUUUUGUUUUGUUUUGGUAAGCCAGAGUAAUAUUUAGGAAAGAUUUUGAGAACAGAGAGAUGGGCCUUGUUUGGCAGCCACUUCAGCUUUUUGAUAUUUAAACCUGUUCUUCCUACAACAGCCAUUCAUAACUUUUGAUACAAAAUAAAAAUUUAACUUGAAUUCAUCAAACAAAUUUUCAUCCUUGAUAUUAAAUUUUGUCUAAAACACACAGUGAAGUUUUUUUGCAGGCUACAAGUGUUUUGAUUUGUUAAUAAUGUCUUUGUUCAAAGAGCUCUUGGGUUUCACUUAGCAGUCCCUUUUUGGCUUCUAUCUGGCCUAUGAAUUUUCUGCUUUCCAAAUCCACAACGAGACUGAGUUACACAUCUAACAGAAACUCAAAUAUUAAGGCAUAGUAUGGAGGAAGUAUUUUUUUCCUCCACUUUCAACGUUAUGUGUUUGUUUGCUGAAGCACAAAUUAUUCUGGGGAUGAGUCUUCCAUAAUUCUGUUUAGAACGAAAAAGUUGGAGAUGUCUUUAUAAAUUAUUCUAUCAAAAAAUAUGCUUGGUUUCUUUUGUUUUUUAUUUAUUGACUGACAUGGCUCUCAUGUUUCUCCAUACUUAAUACUGGACUGAUGCCAGUAUAUGAAAAUAUCCAGUGUUUAGCUCUGAGGAGCAUUGAAGUUCUGAACUACAACAUAAAUGUGCAUUUUAACAUAGAGCUUUUAGUUUAUUGCUAAAACAUCUGUAAGUAAUUUUGAUGUGUAAGUUAUUAACUUACUGUGCUACUAGAGUAAGUGUGUGGCACUAAGUAUCUGUAACUAAUUUUAUACCCUCUUAGUGGGCAUAUAUUUGACAAGUUUCUGAAAACUUGUAGCAGUUCCUGGUUAAUAAACACAUGCUAGAUCAGUGUAAUCUUCAGUAAUCUGGCUUUUACCAUGUUGGUGUGAUCUAACUGCAGCAAUCUCAUCCAUAGAUUCCCACAGAGUUCUUACUUGUUAACACUACAUAACACUAUCAGUCAAAUAGUCCAAUGAACUCUUUUCUUCCUGGCUUUGUAGUUUGCCUCACCUCGCAGUGGUAUCUUUUGAAUAUGCCACCAGUCUGUGUUUAGCUAGCAUGUGGGUGAGUGAAGUCUAAUACAUUCUUGUAUUAUGUAAAAUGAAAUCUGUAUUAUGCAAUUAAUAUUAAUGGUUCUUCUGUUUGGGGUUUGUUUUUUUUUUUGCCUGCUUUCCUUUGUUAAAGAACAAAUUCUGGUUGUAUAUGCAUAUGAUAAUUUUUGUUUUCCUCUUAAUCAUGUUUUGCUUUACAAAGCUGAGUUUGAAAAUGGUAAAUACUGAUUCAAAACCAGGCUUUUUGAGUGACCCUAGCCCUAAGCAUAACUUCCAAUGUUGACUGAGCCACAAAAAUCUCAGUAGUAGAAAUAAAAUCAGAUUUUAAAUCAAUUAAUAUGUAAUACUGAAUUUAAUUGCACUUGGCUUUGUUUUGGAUUUAUUCAUUUUCUAAGUUUUUUGAAUAGGCAAAUAAAUCAGAUUUGUGGGAGACAUACUGUACUGCUUGAAAUGAAUUAUUACAUCUUGUAAAUAUGAAAAUGCGUUAUCUUAAAAAAGAUGAAUAUUCUCUGCAGAGGGAUUAGAAUAUAAUUGCAUUUAAACAUCAGUACCUUUCUGAAUCACAGCUUUGGUUUGAUAUCAAGAGACACUAAAGCAGAGAGAUGACAGAGAACAAUUAGGGGAGCUUUAUGCUCUUGGUUUGUGUCUUUCUUCAAGUUUUGUUAAGCUACUUCAAUUAUGAAUCUCCAAUGCUAGCUGUAGCAUUACAAGAACGGAACAGCUGACGUAGGCCUGAAGAUGCAGGUUGCAUCAGACUAGCCUAGCUAAACAAGCAACACACAUGCAAUAGCUGGUUGAGACUGGGCUAUGGAACUACACAGGAAAAAACUUUCUGCACUGGCUGAUAAAGAUUAUGAUUUGAAUCACUAGUGGUGUAUGAUAUUUAAUAAACUCUGCAGAUGAAUUCUAUGGGAUAUGGUCGGUUCAACUUUUUUUUCCUCCUUUGCAACUAGAAAGCUUUGCACAGUUGUCAGGAGUUCAGUGCAUGUGAAGCAGUUGCUAUCACUUGACUGAAAUGCAUUUGUUGGCCUGCAUCACUGCCAGGGCAAAACUAAUUAACUUAGGCUAUUGCCAUUGCCAUUUACCAUUUACCACAGUGCAGUUGACAGGUCAUCUUCCUCUCCUGCUGUCAUGCAAACAUAGUCUCCAACACAAAAUAAUACCUCUUUCAAAGGAAAAAAAAAUGUUUCUCUAACAGUCAUGGUUUCUACUUUGUGUUUUUUCCAUUUUUGAAUAAAAUAGUGAAUGCACUUUAUUGCACUUAAAAUGCAGUAGAGUUUGGACUGUUUUCCAACAACCUUAAUCAGUUCUGACAAAAUCAGCAACUGUUUUCUCUAUCCCUUUGUUGGAAAGAAUUGAAUUGUAGAUACUGACGGAACAAAGCUAUUUACAACACUAUUGCAGAACAGGUUGCAGAAGGUAUGAUUGAAACUUACAUUCAUGUCAUGCUGUCUGUAAUGAUGGUGUAAAAAAAUUCAGGUGUUCUGAGCUGCCUUUGAAACAUAUCACAGAAAGACUUGUUGAUAUUGACCUUAAUGUCAGAAAUUAUUGGUUACACUGUCAUAACAUCAGCUAAUGUAUAUGUAAACUGUUCAUACUUCAUUAUUAGAUUGUAGUUGCCUACUUAAUCUCAAGUAUUUUUGUCUCAUAUUCUUCAAUGUAUAUAACUUAGAAAUUAAGGGGGAUGCUGACUUCAUUGGGAAGGCAGUUGAUAUUUUCCUCUAGAGGAGGCUGUGUGCCAGGUCCAAAAUUCUGCAUCAUCAUCUCAAUUUUGAUGAUAAGCCUUAUGCAAGCGAGUCCAAAUUUCUUUUGUUUGGAUUAAUAUGCAGUGGUGUGGUAGACUAUUUCCAGUGAGACUGCUGACCGUUUCGUUACACCUUGUUUUGCUUUCAUCAGUUCCUCAACUGUUUUGCAGGUACUGGAAUGGAAUUGCUUGCUCAAAUAAUUUGGCAGUUUGACUUACUUGAAAUUCUUCUGUCUCCUGAUUAUAUUAAUAAACAAUACAAUUAUUUUAAUAUUAAGAGCUUCUAAGUUGUUCUCAAUAAUGUAACAUUUGAUUUAAUUUCUUCUAGUUGUGGCUACGACCAUCUUGAAGAUUUUGUGAUGAGAAUGUCUCAUGACAUUGCUGCUUAAAAUUAAGUUUAUACCUGUUGCCUCUUGAGAAGGGACAAGAAGAAAAGCUGUUGUUCAAGAUCACAAACAGAACAGCAAGAACCAAAACUCAGCACCACUUUUGGACUGUGAAUAUAAUCUACUGCCUUGGCAGAAAUGCUAAUCAGGGGUUAUUUGGUUAUUUCUCUUUGAUUGAAUACCAUCUUCUAUUUUGUGUUAAAGGUUAUUUUUUUAAAGGAGAGAAAAAACUUUAUCCUAGGAAAGAAUUGCCUGCUACUGUAUCUCUAUACAGGUUUUACUGGGUGUUUUCUAAAAGUUAAAAUAAAUGAUUUGUUUCUUCUAUUUAUUUUUUUUAAUUUUUGAUUGAGUUGUGCAAUACAUUUUGGAUGGAUAGCAAUUGAGGUGAUUUUUCUGAUGAAUUAGACAGUCUUGUUGACUAUUCUCACCUGAUUUGAUCUUGAUUGUUUGCUAGAAGGUCACUUCUAUAUGCUUUUGCUUACAAUAAAUCCAAAUUGCAGCACCUCGUUUGUUUACUCCUAGCUUUUGUACUUAUAUUUUCUGAAUAAAAGGUGUGUUCCUGUAAAGUGUAAAUAGUUACUACAUAACUGUAUCAUACGCUGAUCUGUGACUGUUGACAGCACUAAUAGGAAUAGAGCUGAGAUGAAAUAAAGUUUAUAUACUGUAUAAUUUUGGAACAA